Molecule: ribosomal RNA, 479 nt
Filed under: uncultured bacterium
Lineage: Bacteria
Description: bacterial SSU rRNA
Rfam family: Bacterial small subunit ribosomal RNA
Source: RNAcentral
UUUCGCAAUGCCCGAAAGGGUGACGAAGCGACGCCGCGUGGGUGAGGAAGGCCCUCGGGUUGUAAAGCCCUGUCAGGAGUUAAGAAAUGUAGACUCGCUAAUAUCGGGUCUAUUUGACAAAGGCUCCAAAGGAAGCCACGGCUAACUCUGUGCCAGCAGCCGCGGUAAUACAGAGGUGGCAAGCGUUGUUCGGAAUUAUUGGGCGUAAAGAGCACGUAGGUGGAUUUGUAAGUCAGAUGUGAAAGCCUUCUGUUCAACGGGAGAAUUGCAUCUGAAACUACAGACCUUGAGUAUAGGAGGGGAGAAUGGAACUUCUGGUGGAGCGGUGAAAUGCGUAGAUAUCGAGAGGAACGCCGGUGGCGAAAGCGACUCCCUGGCCUGUUACUGACGCUGAGUGUGCGAAAGCUAGGGGAGCAAACGGGAUUAGAUACCCCGGUAGUCCUAGCCGUAAACGAUGGGCACUAAGUAGAGGGGUUUUA